CGUGUCGUGAGAUGUUCGGUUAAGUCCGCUAACGAGCGCAACCCUCGUCGUAUUGUUAUAUGUGUCAUACGAGACUGCCGGUAAAAGCCGGAGGAAGGUGAGGAUGAUGUCAAGUCAGCAUGACCUUUAUAUCCCAGGGCUACACGACACGCUACAAUGGUCUGUACAAUGGGUAGCCAAGCCGCGAGGCGGAGGCCAAUCCUGAAAGCAGGCCUCAGUUCAGAUUGCAGUCUGCAACUCGACUGCAUGAAGCCGGAGUUGCUAGUAACCGCAGGUCAGCAAUACUGCGGUGAAUACGUUCCCGGGUCUU
Molecule: ribosomal RNA, 310 nt
Filed under: uncultured Anaerolineaceae bacterium
Lineage: Bacteria; Bacillati; Chloroflexota; Anaerolineae; Anaerolineales; Anaerolineaceae
Description: bacterial SSU rRNA
Rfam family: Bacterial small subunit ribosomal RNA
Source: RNAcentral